UAUUGAAAAAGGCAAAACUAUCGUAAGAUAGCGACGCAAAACUAUAGGGUCCUAAAAAAAGGACAGCCAGUUACCAUA
Non-coding RNA from Firmicutes bacterium CAG:345, 78 nucleotides. Lineage: Bacteria; Bacillati; Bacillota. The record is from Rfam.